AAGCCAACAACAUGCACACCUAUCCCAGUGAAGGCGGUGCAUAAGAGCUAAAGGCAAAGAGGGACCCAGGUCAGAAAGACAAUUGUAGUUCCUGAUUUUGCCUUUUUGAUUUCUUCACUUUCCCAAUAACAUUCAGGUGUGGUGUUGGCAGCGGUGGUAAGUCCCACGUCAUAACCUUCCCGAAAUUUUUCCACCGGUCGGUACAAUCCAAACACUCGUUCUUCUUAAAAGAAAAAUAAAAUAAAAGUCAUCCCCAAACGCGUGGAAUUAAGGUUCUACCACAAUUUACACUUCCAAACAACCAUCGGGCAGUAUCUCGGCACCAAGAAGCCCCGCCACAGGGAGUGUUAAUUUUUUCUAAGGAUACCUUUCCCAUUUUAGGGAAAGCGGGCUAAUAAUUUAAGUUUGUGAAGUCACAUGUAGCUUUAAAUAAGCAUCAAUAUUAACAAUCACGAACCCCGCGCUAAUAGCUCUUAAAUACCUCGCUAAUAGCCCCCACGUGGAAAGAAAUCCCCAAGUGUUAUAAAUUCAAUUUAACGACCAGAAAACCUCCUGGGCAGCAGCGAAAUACGAAAACUCCCUUCUCCGAGUUCCCUGCCUUUGAUUUAUUUUUAACUACAGGCUCAUGGGAGCGCGGCGCUGGAAAAUCACGUCCAGAUGUACCUAAAGAGGCGUUUUCUCUGCUGAAACCCUCUCUUCUAAAGGGAGCAGAAAACAAAAAUCUUUGAAAUAGUUUGGAUUUUGGUUUUAACGUGGAUUUAAUUGUAAAAAGGGGCAAAGCAGCGGCUGCGUUCGGUGCAAAGACGCUCAGCGAGGAGGGAGCGGCUCUGAAAAUAGAGCGCAGAGGAGCUGGGCUCCCCUAGGGCAGCCUGUACCUGGUGGAGAGAGGCAGCUCAGAGCCCGGGGCUGUUUGUUGGUCUCUUUCCCUGCAUUGGGAGGUGGUGCCCGGGUUUGCCCGAUGCGGUCCGGGUUCCUUCUGUGCGCGCAGGCGGUGCCGGCGCCCCCGCACCCCGGGUCCCGCUCUUUGGGUGAAAUAUCAAAGAUUUGGCCGUAAGAGUGGGUUUGCAGGAGGAGGCAAGAUAAACGGCCCUGAGAAAUGAAGGGGCUUUUCCCAGGGAGUAUCUGUACCUGAUGCCUAAGUCCUCAGUGGGAUUUGCUUGUUGCAGUACUCCCAAGAUGGUUUGAGGUUAGCUGUCCUCAGAAGAAGCAUGGAGGGCUCAAGUUCCCCAGCCAGCACCCUGGAGAGAAAAAACCCAAAACAAACAAAAGAUCCCCAUCCCAGACUUGUGGGAAGAGCAACAAAAUGAGCAGGCAGAUGCUUCCAUCUUCUAUUUACAAGAUUUCAGGAGAAUGCCAGGCCUGACAAUCCAUACCAUAUAGAAGAUCUCUAGGAGCUCCUUCAUCAUGGACUUUCAACUUCACAAUUUCAUGGUUGCUGCAACCAAGACUGCCUUCAGCCCUCUCAUCCCUGAGCAGCCCUUCCUCAUUUGCAAGGAUGGGAUUCAGAAGCUUGUCUCCUCUCACCUUUCAUCAAGAUGGUGUCAAGAAGUUAUCAUUAAUGCAUCUUGGAAGUGGCCAGGAUCCCUUGUACCCUGUUGUGUUGCUGUUUUGACAGUUUUUACAGUAGUUAAACACAACUAUGAGCACUUUAUUAUAAUAAAAUUAUUAAAUAAAACUAUUGUAAGAAUAAAUUAUUUAAAAAACUACAGAGCAAAAA
Molecule: long non-coding RNA, 1717 nt
Organism: Zonotrichia leucophrys gambelii
Lineage: Eukaryota; Metazoa; Chordata; Aves; Passeriformes; Passerellidae
Exons: 3
Source: RefSeq, a predicted model, not a curated record